This 125-nucleotide small RNA is filed under the name Marmota monax (woodchuck). The record is from RNAcentral. Lineage: Eukaryota; Metazoa; Chordata; Mammalia; Rodentia; Sciuridae.
GCUGGCUGUGGUGGUGCACACCUGUAAUCCCAGUGGCUCAGGAGGCUGAGGCAGGAGGACGGAGUUCAAAGUCAGCCUCAGCAAAUUAAUGAGGCCCUAAGCAACUCAGUGAGACCUUGUCUCUA